Long non-coding RNA from Monopterus albus (swamp eel), 3075 nucleotides. RefSeq lists it as uncharacterized. The record is from RefSeq and is a predicted model, not a curated record. NCBI's taxonomy places the organism in Eukaryota, Metazoa, Chordata, Actinopteri, Synbranchiformes, Synbranchidae. The transcript has 6 exons.
GUCAUGAAACUUCUCAGGCUGCAGACACCGGCUCCUCUGUUCGAUGACUCCUUGUCCCAGGCUCCAAGCCCAGGCACCGGUGUCUCCGUCCAGUACAGACAUCCACACAUCCCUUUGUGCCAAACAUGGGAUGAAAGGAAAUGAUUGGCAGCAGCAACUCCAGCUUUUAACAAGCUGGAGAAGGUGCUGACCACCAAGAGGCUCCUGAAGGAUGUCGGGAAGCAGAGUCCACGCCCCCAGACGUCUUCCAUAGAGGCACUUCGCUAUGUCAUUUCCACUUCUUGGAAUGGUGUGCAGGCUGCACUUUACUGAGAUUGCUGACCAGGCACAAACGGUGGCAGGAGGCCCUUGAUUUAAAGGCCUGGAUGUGUUGCGACACCAGUCAAGAACAAGUCGACACUCUCUUGGCUGCUGCUUGAGGGGCCUCAAUCCAGAAUGUCGUUGUGGCCCCAGCUCCAUCAGCAGCGGGCUGCAAUCUUCAGGGCUGCCUUAGGCGCUAGGAAACUCCACGCAGGCAGAACCACCACUGGGACCAGCUCAUGUGUGGAACAUUAAGCGACUGACAAAGGUGUGCUCUGAAACAGAGGCGGAAGACAAUAGUGGACCAAGCCAUCAGCAGGUUGCAGCAUAAAAAGGUCUUGGGAAGAGCACAGGACAGUCAGGCAGGACUGGCUGCGGAAGAACCAGGGCAGUUCUGGUCCAAAACCACAAGGGAGAAGAGGAAGACCUUGGUCAUGGAGGAGGUCACGCUGACGAAGCAGGAGCAUUACCUCAUCAAGGCCAUGUCCCAGUGGCAGCAAGGAGCAUGGACAUGAUGGUAGCCAACACAAGCAGAGGCAUUAGUUGGGCAGACAUCUGCUGAACUCCGCAAGCACAACUCAGCUUCCUGAUAACUUAUGACACCCUCCCAUGUCCCCAAAACCUGUUCCAGUGGUUUGGGAAUAAGGAUAAAUGUCUGCUGUGCAGCAACAGCAACUCAGGCCUCCAGGAAAUCCUGCUGGACUGCAAGGUGGCACUGGCACAACCUAGUGCUGAGGAAGCUAGUAGAGCUGUUGGGUUAAGUGGAGGGUGGGGCCAAAUGACUCCUCAGGUUUAUUCCCAUUGUCAAGCCAGGAGAGUUCAGACAAAAGCCAACAGCAGGGAAGACAACAUCCCUGCUUUCUCCUGGAAAGGCCUGGAAAAUAAGAGUUGACCUGGACAAACAGCUAGCUCUCCCACCUGAGAUCACACACACUACCAAGAGCAUCGAACUUACUGUCCCUUACAAGGAGAGGUUGCCAGCAACACGAGUGCAAACAGCUGAAGUACUCUGAGCUAAUGCUUGGUGGACUGCAACCAUUGACUCAGUGGAUGCAGGGGCUGUGUGGGCAAAUCAGCAGUCCAACGGCUAGAAACGGCUAGGACAAGUCUACAGAAGGCCUUCAAAAAGCUAACAGAGAAGGAAAGCUACUGGCCACAGCGAAGGGGGAGGGACAGAAUCUGGAGCACCAGAAAGGGAAGCUGCAUACACUGGUGGAGGUGUGACAGACAAGACACCAGGCAGGUAGAACAUCACCUGUACAAUAAGCAAAUCGCUUUUGAUGCUCAUUAUUUCUGAAAAGAUUCCUCCCAGUCUCAAGUUCAAGGGUUAGGUGUUAGGGUUUGGGCAUGUCAACCGAGACAUUAUGUUUCCCCUGAGACUGGAUUUCAAAACCUCCUUUUAAGUAGGAGAAAUUUAAUAGAAAUGAUUCCUCCACAGUUAAAUUAUAAAAAGCCUGAUGCUGCAGAAUCAUUAUUACUAAGCUAUCUCAGCUCUAUCUGAAUAACGCAGUUACUCAGACCUUCCAGUUUAGAGGUCAAGGAGUUGGUAUAAUCUCCAAACAAUGUGGCUGCUAAGACAGAGACAAAUCAAUUUUUUUUUUUUUGUCAAGGCCAUGAUCAGAAUUAGGGAAAUGCAUUACACAGAAAGACUAGCAGAAUCCCUCAAUGAGUUAUUGAUUAAAGCGUAUUGAAUAAGAACCAGUAGGAGCCAAGGAAUCAUCUUCGGCUCUGAUUCACCGUGAGAGGACAGACAGCCAGCCUCCCUGGGAGGGAGGGGAGAAUUAUCCUGGCAGUGCAGAGCAGGGCUCCUGCAGCAGUGAGCAGGCACCACGAGGACUCAGUGGAUAACGAGCAGUCUUUGUGAUGUGUGCUGCAGGGGCUAGUGAAGGCUGAGCCAGGGAACAGUAAUGAAGUGCAGGCAUUCGUCUAAAGCCACACAGACAUUCAGACACACUAUAUGAAUGCACCUCUGUUGUCCUCCGUGCCUACCUUUCCCCCUUUCACUGCUAUUUGAUAUGAUUUGACACAUUUCUGCACAUGAUGCUGGAUCUUAUUCCCAUUAUGGAAAUCAGGUACUGCAUUGGCCACAGUAGCAUUGUCUAAGAUAUCCAAGUCCAGAGGUACAUGUAUUAAAGAAAAUGUCUUCUGUACAUGUAGAAUUUUAAAGACCUGAAUAAAUCAUCCAAUUUGUAAUCACAUAACUUUCAACAAAUCUUGUCUGUAAAGUGAAUCAGAAUUUCCUUAAAGGGGAAUGAAUCUUGAGAUCUUUGGUUUCGUUUAACAGUUAAAGCACUUCCUAGACAAAAAGGUUUGUGUGUGCAUGCUAGUUUGUAUGCAGUGCCAGUUGCUGGGUGGCUGGUGAGGACAACGCACCCCGACCUUUGCUUCCACAACAUGUAAUGCACUUGUCACUGCUGCUUUACAAUUCAUGGACCACCCCUAGAACAAGGCUCUCGGAAUAACAUUCCUCAGAUUUGUGUAUAAUUAUAAAUGCACAUGCGCACACAAACACAUUGUAGCUUCACCUCAUCACUACUUUGUAACUGUCUGACAAUUUCUUCCUCACUUUACAGCUCGAUCUCAUUCAACGAACAACAUAUUUCAGCUAAAACGGCGUGGUAAUGUGCACGUUAUCAGGAGCAGGUUCUACUUGAGUUACUGCUGUCAGCGAGGGCUGAAAACAUAAUGACAGCUGACUGCUGUGUCAACCUCUCUGAACACAUGACUACUGCUACUGUACAGGUGUCACAGUUAGGCAUGGGGGUAAAAAAAAAA